UAAACCAGGAUUAGAUACCCUAUUAUAUUUAAACAAAUUGGGUAGUAUUAUUAAUAAAAACCUUUAUACUUUGGCGGCAUUUUAUCUUAUUAGAGGAAUAUGUUCAUUAAUCGAAACCACACGAUAGUUUUUACUUACUAUAAAAUUUUAUAUACCCCCGUCUAAAGAAUUUAUUUAAAAUUUUUAUUCCAAAUUAUAUUAAAAAAAGUUAGGUAAAGGUGUAGACUAUUAGUAAGAUUAAAUGUAUUACAUUAAAAAAAAUUUAAGGAUAAAACAGUUAACUGUUUAUUAAAAGAGGAUUUAUAAGUAAUUUACUUUUAAUAAAAANUAAUGAAUAAGAAAAUAAAUGUGCACAUAUCGCCCGUCACUCUCA
RNAcentral lists this ribosomal RNA (373 nucleotides) under Sancus acoreensis. Its description in RNAcentral is "partial 12S ribosomal RNA". Lineage: Eukaryota; Metazoa; Arthropoda; Arachnida; Araneae; Tetragnathidae. The record is from RNAcentral.